UGGCGGCUUCGUGCCGUGCAGGUGGGCGAGCAGGAGAUGAAGAAGCAGCAGGACGAGAUCGCCGCCAUCAUGAAGAUGCGCGAGGCGGCGUCCAGCGGCACGCAGCAAGCCGGGGAUUUCAUCUGCACCGUGUACCUGGAGGAGAAGAAGGCGGAGAUGGAGCAGCACGUGAAGAUCCCGGCCACGAUGACGGCUGAGGAGCUGACAUCCGAGAUCCUGGAUAGGAGGAAAAUGGUGACCAAGGAGAAGGAUUAUUGGAGCUGC
Molecule: long non-coding RNA, 264 nt
Organism: Lagopus leucura (white-tailed ptarmigan)
Lineage: Eukaryota; Metazoa; Chordata; Aves; Galliformes; Phasianidae
Exons: 3
Source: RefSeq, a predicted model, not a curated record